This is a long non-coding RNA of Balaenoptera musculus (blue whale), 4194 nucleotides long. RefSeq lists it as uncharacterized. Lineage: Eukaryota; Metazoa; Chordata; Mammalia; Artiodactyla; Balaenopteridae. The transcript is spliced from 4 exons. The record is from RefSeq and is a predicted model, not a curated record.
UUCUGCAUCAUCGCACUGCCCCAGCCCUGGUUCCUGCCGUUUCCUCAUCACAAAGCAUACAACUAGGCAAAAAGCGACAGUUGGGAAGUGUUCUUUUCCUGCUGCUACCUAGCAUUUCUUCCGUGAGGAGUAUUUACCUUUGUUUAGCCAGGAGCAGAGAAGCAGUCUGCAUGCACACAAUGGCUUCACACUUGGCAGCGUGCAUUUCCAGCAGAGCAGGUACUGCUUGGAGCCUGGUGGCCAGAUUGCCCCUGGUGGAGCGCGGCUGGGUCCCCAGCACUUGUGGGAAUAGCGUGUGCGGGCUUCUCACGCCGCGCCGCUCUACCUGCAGGAAUACAGGCUAGGACAAAGGAGAUGCUGAUGCCGUUUGUCUGGCUGGGGCCCGGGCAGGCAGACUCCACCGAACUGAUGCUGUGUGACUCUCCCAGCUCCCAGUUCGGGCUGGUCACGGGGGCUGGAGCAGAUCCCCGCUCCUCAGUUAGAACACGGUUUAAAGGAGAAACCAGACUCACUGACCUAAAUGCAUCCCAGUCCUCUCUGGAUGCGGGGACAGCUGUCGACUAGCAGUGACACAGCCAGCCAUCAAGUGGAGAAUCGUUGCGACUGCAGUCUGGGUGCAGGUGGAGCCCGGGAGAUUGACAGUUUAAUUGCGGUCCUCCGAUGGCUUCUUAUUUUCCUAAAUAAUUGUGCUCGCUAAGUGUACAGUUGCCUGGAUUAGUCUGCCUUCCACACAGUCUUCAUCUGCGCUGGUGGGAAAUCAGGGUGCCAGGCAAGGCUGUUUAGUGCUGGCUCCUUCCUGCGUGAUGUGAUUCAACUAGGAUGGGUCACACUGACAACAAAGAAGGAAGCAGAAAGCAUCACUUUAUCUUCUCUUGUGAUGUUAGCGGAACACAACUGUUCUUCUUCGCAGUGAUGCCCUCCUCUGUGUGUGUGUGCGUGUGUUUGUGUGUGUGUGUGUUUUAAUUCAUCUAAUCGAAGAGCCUAACAGAUAUCAUCAUGGAUGUGUGCCUUUUUAAAAAUGAUUUGGAAAAAAAGGCAGCCUGUGGAGACAGCGAUUUGAGACAGCUGCACAUUUAGGUUAUUGCCAAUUUGAAAUACUUUGGUUUGUGAAGCCGAGCCCUAAGAGACAAGCUGGGUAACUGAGAAAGAGAUCGUAGAUAAAGAAAUAAAAAUGACAAGCGUAAUGGAGGCUCUGUGGAAGGACUGUCAGAGCAUCAGUUCCUGGAUGGCAAUUUCGCCAGGCUGAGAUUGAAUAAUUCAUAGAUUGAAAUUACCCUGCUUUCACCUUUCCAUUUAAACCGGCAUGAUCUGAAUCUCUAAUAAAUUUUCCAGAUAAAGUAAAAUGCCAGUUUGAAUCUGAAGAGCUUUUAAAACCAGAUGCUGCAUCCCUGAAUCUUUCGGUAUCUUUCACAAUUAUCCUGUGAGGACUGCACUUCAUCACGAAGCAGCAUUACCAGUGAAAAUUACUGUGAUUACAAUAGCAACAGUAGAAUACCGUCAAAUGAUCUCUAAUUUACCUAAUUUGCUAAGACUGUGUGCUUUUAACGCCCAUUGUAUGUCACCCUGCCGGGCACCCGGGAUCUCUCUUGCACCGAAACAAAAGUGAGGCAGUGUAUGUGAUACCUUAACUCCCAAAGCAAAGAACAUUCUCCUAGGUUACAACGUCUCUUUCGUUGGGUUUGCAUUUGUGUGUGUGUGUGUGUGUGUGUGUGUGUUUCCAUUGCCUAUACCCCAAAUGUCCAUUUGGGGAAUUGGUGAACGUGUUGUGUAUUUGGGGUUGAUUCUUGGAUACAGGAGAGCACAGACUUCUUAAUUUAUACACCCUUUUAAUUUUAAUGUAUACAAGCAUGUGUUUACCAGAAGGGAGGGAAGAUUCUGUUCUAGGAGGAGUUUAAAAAUGCAGCCAAGAUGAAGUGUUCAUCUUUGUUUCUUUUUUGAAACCCCUCUCUGCUUUCAGGUUAGAGAGUCUUUCAGGGAAUUAUAAUCCUGGUGUGAUGUGUUAAAACAAAAACAAAAACAAAAACGUUUCAGAUUGAGAAGAAGCUCAAGAGAUAUCCAGUAAUAACUCUGUGCAGCCCUUAUUGAGAGCAUGUGUGCCUGAGUGAGUACAGGAAGCUUUGGUCCUAGACUUUGGUUGUGUUUGUGUCUGCUCGCUCUCCAAGUAGAAGUCUCACCCAAAUAAGUGCUGCAGGUUUUGCCUCAGGGGUCACUGUGCCACCUGCGAGAGUGGCAUGGUUCUUCAAGCCUCCGUGGAGAACAGACUGUGAUCAUUUGAUAGGCACAGGCACUUGUGGAAUUUCACCCUCAGUAGCAGACAGUAUGUGGGCUUCUGCUAGUCAAGUGAUUUAAGUUUGACUCUCUAGGUAGGGUUUCCGAGGGAUGACAAUCUCUGCGGAGGAAGGUGGGUUUGAAACAUACCUGUCUAAUAUUGCGAGUUGUUUGCUGAAGACCCUGAGCUCUGGUAUAUUUCUUAAUCCAUUAUCCCAGCUUUACCUCUUCCUGCACGCCUGCAAACACCUUUGGCAGAAGGAGGUCUAAGAAGGCCCCUCCCCCCAGCUUUCAGUUUGGUGUGGAGCAAAAACAACCAAUAGAACUCACUGAAUGAUCAAGCUCUUCCAGGUGAGGGCUCCAGGUUUUCCUCAGCUGUUCCCCAUGAGACUGCCCUCCUUCUUUCAGAAUUCUACAUUACAAAGUCAAAUUGUGGAAUAUGUGCAAGCAUAGGUUUAAUUUAAUUUUAACAAAAGGGGGAGACACAGGGUCUUUCCGUCUAGGAGGGUCAAAGGUAGAAUUGUGGAAGAUUAAUUUCCUACCACAUCACUGCAAAACAUAGCAGAUGACUGAGGACGUACCAGAGAAACACAGCCUUUAGGCUCAGCAAGAGGGGCCUCUGCCCUGGGCACCGUGCUUUUGAGAGCUGCACUUCAGAGGGCCCUGCUCUGCCCCUCUGCUGUCAUGCCCUGUCACAGCACCCCCCACAGGGCAAAGUCAGUGGGUCAAGGGGACUCGUCCAUCCAGAGCCUGCGCUUCCCCUCCCUCCUAGAGCGCGCUUCCUGGAAUCCUGAAUUCCUGCAUAAGCAUCCCUGUGUAAACAUCCGCGGCUGAGGAUGAAGGAUGCUGCCAGUGUCUGUACUCCUAGGCCUGAGAGGCGGGCAGAGGAGGCCGCUGGGGAGCAGCCUCAGGGUGUAACCGAGCAGGACCCUGUGGGGCCUUCCCGGGAGAGACCCCUCCCCCAUAGCCUCUGCUGAAGCUCCUCUCUCAAGUGCCCAGGUAACAGUAUCUGAUGCACGUUUCUUGAGUUGUUUUACAGAUGAGAAAACCUCCACCACGUGGAAGACAUUAACUGCUUGAUGACCAUGAGCACGUAGCCCUCUCGCCUACUGGGGCCUAAGGAUUGAGCACGUUAACCCCUGUGACGCCUGUUACCUCACCAUCAACCAAUCAGAGAAUUGUGCACGAGCUCAUCACGUACCCUGGGACGCCCCUCCCUCACCUGGCCUUUAAAGAUACUUUGCUGAAACCCAUGGAGGAGUUGCGUGUUUUGAGCACUAGCUGUCUUGGACGCCUUGCUUGGUGCCCUGCAGUAAACGCUGCACAUUCCUUCAUCACAACCAGGCGUCAGUAACUUGGCUUUACUGCGCGUGGGUGAGAGGACCCAAGUUUGGUUGGGUAACAAGGUGGGCUGGAGCGUCCACACACGUGGGAGACGCCUUUCCUAACGCAAGAAAGCACCGGGAGUGAGCAGAGGGGUUGGUCAGGCCAGAAGCUGCUGCCUGUACCGCCGCCUCAUUCUGGCCUAGAAACCCGGAGCAGGGAAGAACCGCACGUUCCGUUCUGGUCUUGGGAAGGAGGAUUUGUCAAGAUUCUCACAGCCAAAGACUCUUAUCUGCAGACCUGCCAAAGGAAGUGAUUGCCAAAGGGUCUUUUAAAUGAAGAAUGGAGACAAUCUGUUGCCUUUUUUCAUUCCGAACCACCACGGUAUUGGAUUUGAAGUGCUAUUUGGGCAUUUAAAAAUAAUUCUCUUUCGCUAGACUGUGAAGCUCUCCAGGCUAAGGACUCUUUUUCCUUCAUCAUGAUAUUUCCAGCUCAUACAGAAGUUUAUUGCACUUACUUGAUCAUUAAAAUGUUUAGCGAAGAAAAGAAGAAAACUGCAGCUGUAUUAGUUCAUUGUUGUUGUUUUUAAGUUUAUUCGUUAAA